UACAGAGGGUGCAAGCGUUGUUCGGAAUUAUUGGGCGUAAAGCGCGUGUAGGCGGCUUUGCAAGUCGGGGUGUGAAAGCCCUCAGCUCAACUGAGGAAGUGCGCCCGAAACUGCAGAGCUUGAGUACCGGAGAGGGUGGCGGAAUUCCCCAAGUAGAGGUGAAAUUCGUAGAUAUGGGGGAGGAACACCGGUGGCGAAGGCGGCCACC
Molecule: ribosomal RNA, 208 nt
Filed under: uncultured bacterium
Lineage: Bacteria
Description: partial 16S ribosomal RNA
Rfam family: Bacterial small subunit ribosomal RNA
Source: RNAcentral